GACGUAGGGCGCGAGCGUUGUCCGGAUUUAUUGGGCGUAAAGAGCUCGUAGGCGGCUUGUUGCGUCGGCUGUGAAAUCUCGUGGCUUAACUGCGGGCUUGCAGCUGAUACGGGCGGGCUAGAGUUCGGUAGGGGAGACUGGAAUUCCUGGUGUAGCGGUGAAAUGCGCAGAUAUCAGGAGGAACACCGGUGGCGAAGGCGGGUCUCUGGGCCGAUACUGACGCUGAGGAGCGAAAGCGUGGGGAGCAAACAGG
RNAcentral lists this ribosomal RNA (253 nucleotides) under uncultured bacterium. RNAcentral's name for it is "partial 16S ribosomal RNA". It matches the Rfam family "Bacterial small subunit ribosomal RNA", at positions 524 to 776 of the family's 1533-position model. The record is from RNAcentral.